RNAcentral lists this ribosomal RNA (440 nucleotides) under uncultured bacterium. RNAcentral describes it as "partial 16S ribosomal RNA". It matches the Rfam family "Bacterial small subunit ribosomal RNA", at positions 338 to 795 of the family's 1533-position model. The record is from RNAcentral.
CCUACGGGUGGCAGCAGUGGGGGAUAUUGCACAAUGGGGGAAACCCUGAUGCUGCGACGCCGCGUGUGGGAAGACGGUCCUCUGGAUUGUAAACCACUGUCCCCAGGGACGAAGAUGCCGUUACCUGGGGAGGAAGCUCCGGCAAACUACGUGCCAGCAGCCGCGGUAAUCCGUAGGGAGCGAGCGUUGUCCGGAAUUACUGGGUGUAAGGGGAGCGUAGGCGGGGAUGCAAGUUGGGGUUCAAAACUACCGGCUCAACUGGUAGUCGCACUCAAAACUGCAGCUCUUGAGUGAAGUAGAGGCAGGCGGAAUUCCUAGUGUAGCGGUGAAAUGCGUAGAUAUUAGGAGGAACACCAGUGGCGAAGGCGGCCUGCUGGGCUGUUACUGACGCUGAGGCUCGAAAGUGUGGGGAGCAAACAGGAUUAGAUACCCCAGUAGUC